This 252-nucleotide ribosomal RNA is filed under the name uncultured bacterium. RNAcentral's name for it is "partial 16S ribosomal RNA". It matches the Rfam family "Bacterial small subunit ribosomal RNA", at positions 524 to 776 of the family's 1533-position model. The record is from RNAcentral.
UACGUAGGUCCCGAGCGUUGUCCGGAUUUAUUGGGCGUAAAGCGAGCGCAGGUGGUUUAUUAAGUCCGGUGUAAAAGGCAGUGGCUCAACCAUUGUAUGCAUUGGAAACUGGUAGACUUGAGUGCAGGAGAGGAGAGUGGAAUUCCAUGUGUAGCGGUAAAAUGCGUAGAUAUAUGGAGGAACACCGGUGGCGAAAGCGGCUCUCUGGCCUGUAACUGACACUGAGGCUCGAAAGCGUGGGGAGCAAACAGG